RNAcentral lists this long non-coding RNA (327 nucleotides) under Physcomitrium patens. RNAcentral describes it as "long non-coding RNA (PPAT_LNC009470)". The record is from RNAcentral. Lineage: Eukaryota; Viridiplantae; Streptophyta; Bryopsida; Funariales; Funariaceae.
GUUAAAAAUCUAACUUUGAAAGAAGUACAAAAAAAUUUACAUUCUAAAAAUACAUCUAAAAUAAAAAAAUAUUCAUAUUCAACUACCACAUUAAGAAUAAAAUUUGUAAAGGACAAUAAAAAGGUUUUUUUUAGUUACAUUAUAUAAUUAUCUAUUCUUUUUAGAUACUAUAAUUAUAAGUGAUAUCUAUUUAUUAUAUGGUACAAAAUUAAAAAAAAUAAAAUUUAGAAACUUAUUAAAUUUAUUAAUUACAAAAAAAAUUAGUCAUAUUUUAAGCUUUUAUAAUUAAUAUUCUUAUAUUUAAAUAUAAUUUUAUAUUCAAAAAAU